Molecule: ribosomal RNA, 497 nt
Filed under: uncultured bacterium
Lineage: Bacteria
Description: partial 16S ribosomal RNA
Rfam family: Bacterial small subunit ribosomal RNA
Source: RNAcentral
GAUGAACGCUGGCGGCGUGCCUAAUACAUGCAAGUCGAGCGAACGGACGAGAAGCUUGCUUCUCUGAUGUUAGCGGCGGACGGGUGAGUAACACGUGGAUAACCUACCUAUAAGACUGGGAUAACUUCGGGAAACCGGAACUAAUACCGGAUGAUAUUUUGAACCGCAUGGUUCAAAAGUGAAAGACGGUCUUGCUGUCACUUAUAGAUGGAUCCGCGCUGCAUUAGCUAGUUGGUAAGGUAACGGCUUACCAAGGCAACGAUGCAUAGCCGACCUGAGAGGGUGAUCGGCCACACUGGAACUGAGACACGGUCCAGACUCCGACGGGAGGCAGCAGUAGGGAAUCUUCCGCAAUGGGCGAAAGCCUGACGGAGCAACGCCGCGUGAGUGAUGAAGGUCUUCGGAUCGUAAAACUCUGUUAUUAGGGAAGAACAUAUGUGUAAGUAACUGUGCACAUCUUGACGGUACCUAAUCAGAAAGCCACGGCUAACUACGUG